RNAcentral lists this ribosomal RNA (270 nucleotides) under Bacillus sp. BC2_NA3B1. Its description in RNAcentral is "partial 16S ribosomal RNA". It matches the Rfam family "Bacterial small subunit ribosomal RNA", at positions 1073 to 1344 of the family's 1533-position model. Lineage: Bacteria; Bacillati; Bacillota; Bacilli; Caryophanales; Bacillaceae. The record is from RNAcentral.
UGUUGGGUUAAGUCCCGCAACGAGCGCAACCCUUGAUCUUAGUUGCCAUCAUUAAGUUGGGCACUCUAAGGUGACUGCCGGUGACAAACCGGAGGAAGGUGGGGAUGACGUCAAAUCAUCAUGCCCCUUAUGACCUGGGCUACACACGUGCUACAAUGGACGGUACAAAGAGCUGCAAGACCGCGAGGUGGAGCUAAUCUCAUAAAACCGUUCUCAGUUCGGAUUGUAGGCUGCAACUCGCCUACAUGAAGCUGGAAUCGCUAGUAAUCG